RNAcentral lists this long non-coding RNA (357 nucleotides) under Bos taurus (domestic cattle). RNAcentral describes it as "long non-coding RNA NONBTAT024264". Lineage: Eukaryota; Metazoa; Chordata; Mammalia; Artiodactyla; Bovidae. The record is from RNAcentral.
CUCAUGACUUCUACUCAUCUUGUGUUGGAAGAUCAAUCAAAGAAGGAAAGAAGAGACUGGAGCUAGGAGCCAGUAAUCUAAGAGAAAGGCAGUAUGCCAAAGACUUGAUCAGAAAUGCUGGAUGUUUUCUGGCUUAGAUACUCUUAAAAUCAGUCAUGUUCCAAAAAAGUGCAAAGAUAUAUUCUAAAUCCUACAUAAGGAUUAUUCCUGGGGUACUAUGAAAAUAAAGGGAAUUAUUAGUGCCACCUGUUGGUGAAAAAGCAUUAUGAACAGUAUCUGCUUAUCUGCAUAACCCAGACUGAGAACUCAUCAGAAAAGUACUACAUGUGGAAGGGCAGCUAGGAUAGUGGUUUUCUG